CCUAGGUUAGCUCAGUUGGCUAGAGAGUGGUGUUAACACCAAGGUCAGGGGUUCAAUCCCCUACAUGCCA
Pangasius djambal is the source of this 70-nucleotide non-coding RNA. NCBI's taxonomy places the organism in Eukaryota, Metazoa, Chordata, Actinopteri, Siluriformes, Pangasiidae. The record is from the annotation of a GenBank genome assembly.